This 24-nucleotide non-coding RNA is filed under the name Arabidopsis thaliana (thale cress). Lineage: Eukaryota; Viridiplantae; Streptophyta; Magnoliopsida; Brassicales; Brassicaceae. The record is from RNAcentral.
UAAACGCUUAAAGUUUGAUGUUCG